CAUGCAGUCGAACGGCUGUGCGGGGCAACCCGGCGGCGAGUGGCGAACGGGUGAGUAAUAUAUCGGAACGUGCCCUGGAGUGGGGGAUAACGCAGCGAAAGUUGCGCUAAUACCGCAUACAAUCUAAGGAUGAAAGCAGGGGACCGCAAGGCCUUGUGCUCCUGGAGCGGCCGAUAUCUGAUUAGCUAGUUGGUGGGGUAAAGGCCUACCAAGGCAUCGAUCAGUAGCUGGUCUGAGAGGACGACCAGCCACACUGGAACUGAGACACGGUCCAGACUCCUACGGGAGGCAGCAGUGGGGAAUUUUGGACAAUGGGCGCAAGCCUGAUCCAGCAAUGCCGCGUGAGUGAAGAAGGCCUUCGGGUUGUAAAGCUCUUUUGUCAGGGAAGAAACGGUGGGGGCUAAUAUCCCCUGCUAAUGACGGUACCUGAAGAAUAAGCACCGGCUAACUACGUGCCAGCAGCCGCGGUAAUACGUAGGGUGCAAGCGUUAAUCGGAAUUACUGGGCGUAAAGCGUGCGCAGGCGGUUUUGUAAGUCUGUCGUGAAAUCCCCGGGCUCAACCUGGGAAUUGCGAUGGAGACUGCAAGGCUAGAAUCUGGCAGAGGGGGGUAGAAUUCCACGUGUAGCAGUGAAAUGCGUAGAGAUGUGGAGGAACACCGAU
RNAcentral lists this ribosomal RNA (661 nucleotides) under uncultured bacterium. RNAcentral describes it as "bacterial SSU rRNA". It matches the Rfam family "Bacterial small subunit ribosomal RNA", at positions 54 to 713 of the family's 1533-position model. The record is from RNAcentral.